Molecule: unclassified non-coding RNA, 134 nt
Filed under: uncultured Arnium
Lineage: Eukaryota; Fungi; Ascomycota; Sordariomycetes; Sordariales; Lasiosphaeriaceae
Description: sequence contains ITS1
Source: RNAcentral
CUGGGUGGCUUCGGCCUAAACCCCCUAACCAUUGUGAGCGAUACCAGUUGCUUAGCUGGUGGCGGUGAACAACCGCCCUGCCGGCGGCACAAAACUCUUCUCAUGUCAUCUCUGAGUUACUUUUAAAUAAGUCA